This 94-nucleotide microRNA precursor is filed under the name Canis lupus familiaris (dog). Its description in RNAcentral is "mir-8799 microRNA precursor family". It matches the Rfam family "mir-8799 microRNA precursor family". The record is from Rfam by way of RNAcentral. Lineage: Eukaryota; Metazoa; Chordata; Mammalia; Carnivora; Canidae. RNAcentral also lists the same sequence under 1 other name.
AAGGGGAGUGCAGGAUCCUGGGCUGUGUCCCCCAGCACCCGGGCUCCAGGGUCUGCAGUGCUGGAACCAUGUUCCCGGGGCCGUGCAGCCCCAU